Kwoniella heveanensis BCC8398 is the source of this 85-nucleotide transfer RNA. It matches the Rfam family "tRNA". From Rfam's summary of the family: Transfer RNA (tRNA) molecules are approximately 80 nucleotides in length. Their secondary structure includes four short double-helical elements and three loops (D, anti-codon, and T loops). Lineage: Eukaryota; Fungi; Basidiomycota; Tremellomycetes; Tremellales; Cryptococcaceae. The record is from Rfam.
UGUCCCAUGGCUAAGUUGGUUAAGGCGGUCGACUGUUAGUUUCUAGCAGAUCGGACGGUCGUGAGUUCGAGUCUCACUGGGACAG